UACGGAGGAUGCGAGCGUUAUCCGGAUCUAUUGGGUUUAAAGGGUGCGUAGGCGGGCUUUUAAGUCAGCGGUAAAAAUUCGGGGCUCAACCCCGUCCGGCCGUUGAAACUGGGGGUCUUGAGUGGGCGAGAAGAAGGCGGAAUGCGUGGUGUAGCGGUGAAAUUCAUAGAUAUCACGCAGAACCCCGAUUGCGAAGGCAGCCUUCCGGCGCCCUACUGACGCUGAGGCACGAAAGUGCGGGGAUCGAACAGG
This 252-nucleotide ribosomal RNA is filed under the name uncultured bacterium. RNAcentral describes it as "partial 16S ribosomal RNA". It matches the Rfam family "Bacterial small subunit ribosomal RNA", at positions 524 to 776 of the family's 1533-position model. The record is from RNAcentral.